This 274-nucleotide ribosomal RNA is filed under the name uncultured bacterium. Its description in RNAcentral is "partial 16S ribosomal RNA". It matches the Rfam family "Bacterial small subunit ribosomal RNA", at positions 523 to 796 of the family's 1533-position model. The record is from RNAcentral.
AUACAGAGGGUGCAAGCGUUAAUCGGAAUUACUGGGCGUAAAGCGCGCGUAGGCGGUUUGAUAAGUCGGAUGCGAAAGCCCUGGGCUUAACCUGGGAACGGCAUUCGAAACUGUCAGACUAGAGUAUGGUAGAGGGAAGUGGAAUUCCAGGUGUAGCGGUGAAAUGCAUAGAUAUCUGGAGGAACAUCAGUGGCGAAGGCGGCUUCCUGGACCAAUACUGACGCUGAGGUGCGAAAGCGUGGGGAGCAAACAGAAUUAGAUACCCCAGUAGUCC